GGAUGUGUAGCUCAGUGGUUAGAGCGCUGCUCUGAUAAAGCAGAGGUCGGUGGUCCGAUUCCACCCACAUCCACCA
This 76-nucleotide transfer RNA is filed under the name Patescibacteria group bacterium. RNAcentral describes it as "tRNA-Ile". It matches the Rfam family "tRNA". Rfam says of the family: Transfer RNA (tRNA) molecules are approximately 80 nucleotides in length. Their secondary structure includes four short double-helical elements and three loops (D, anti-codon, and T loops). Further hydrogen bonds mediate the characteristic L-shaped molecular structure. tRNAs have two regions of fundamental functional importance: the anti-codon, which is responsible for specific mRNA codon recognition, and the 3' end, to which the tRNAs corresponding amino acid is attached (by aminoacyl-tRNA synthetases). tRNAs cope with the degeneracy of the genetic code in two manners: having more than one tRNA (with a specific anti-codon) for a particular amino acid; and 'wobble' base-pairing, i.e. permitting non-standard base-pairing at the 3rd anti-codon position. The record is from RNAcentral.